This 397-nucleotide ribosomal RNA is filed under the name uncultured bacterium. Its description in RNAcentral is "partial 16S ribosomal RNA". It matches the Rfam family "Bacterial small subunit ribosomal RNA", at positions 523 to 917 of the family's 1533-position model. The record is from RNAcentral.
AUACGUAGGGUGCGAGCGUUGUCUGGAAUUACUGGGCGUAAAGAGCUCGUAGGUGGUUUGUCGCGUCGUCUGUGAAAUUCCGGGGCUUAACUCCGGGCGUGCAGGCGAUACGGGCAUAACUUGAGUACUGUAGGGGAGACUGGAAUUCCUGGUGUAGCGGUGAAAUGCGCAGAUAUCAGGAGGAACACCGGUGGCGAAGGCGGGUCUCUGGGCAGUAACUGACGCUGAGGAGCGAAAGCAUGGGUAGCGAACAGGAUUAGAUACCCUGGUAGUCCAUGCCGUAAACGGUGGGCGCUAGGUGUAGGGGUCUUCCACGACUUCUGUGCCGUAGCUAACGCAUUAAGCGCCCCGCCUGGGGAGUACGGCCGCAAGGCUAAAACUCAAAUGAAUUGACGGG